Molecule: ribosomal RNA, 492 nt
Filed under: uncultured bacterium
Lineage: Bacteria
Description: partial 16S ribosomal RNA
Rfam family: Bacterial small subunit ribosomal RNA
Source: RNAcentral
AGUGAACGCUGGCGGUAGGCCUAACACAUGCAAGUCGAACGGCAGCACAGUAAGAGCUUGCUCUUACGGGUGGCGAGUGGCGGACGGGUGAGGAAUACAUCGGAAUCUACUUUUUCGUGGGGGAUAACGUAGGGAAACUUACGCUAAUACCGCAUACGACCUACGGGUGAAAGCAGGGGAUCUUCGGACCUUGCGCGAUUGAAUGAGCCGAUGUCGGAUUAGCUAGUUGGCGGGGUAAAGGCCCACCAAGGCGACGAUCCGUAGCUGGUCUGAGAGGAUGAUCAGCCACACUGGAACUGAGACACGGUCCAGACUCCUACGGGAGGCAGCAGUAGGGAAUAUUGGACAAUGGGCGCAAGCCUGAUCCAGCCAUACCGCGUGGGUGAAGAAGGCCUUCGGGUUGUAAAGCCCUUUUGUUGGGGAAGAAAAGCAGCAGGUUAAUACCCCGCUGUUCUGACGGUACCCAAAGAAUAAGCCCCGGCUAACUUCGUG